GACAAUUUAUUGAAACAUCCAUCCAUCCAUUUUCUUAGCCGCUUAUCCUCACUAGGUUCACAGGAGUGCUGGAGCCUAUCCCAGCUGAGAGAACAUGCAAACUCCACACAGGCGGAUCCGGGAUUGAACCCGGGACCUCAGAAUUGUGAGACCAACGCUUUCCAGCUGAGGCCACCGUCCCACCCUUUCAUUGAAGCACCAGAGGAUAAAGAAUCUGCGAAGAUUGAAAAAAUAAAUGUGAGCGGAGAGCGCGUCAUCCAUGCGCCAAGUUGCGGAAGUGUCAUUCGACAUCCAAGUGGUCGCCAUAUUGGCUGCAUCUUCUGUCUGUGACAUCACACUGGGACAUUCGCCAUUGAAAACACGCUGUGGCCACUACUGGGGGAGACGAACACGUCCCUUCUGACACGGAAGCUCUUUUCAAAGGAGAGAACAUCUCACAGCCGAGUUAAGUUACCGGGGCAAUAUUACCCUAUUGUUUCUAGCCAUAUUUAGAUGAUAUGCGGCUCACUUCUAACUAACAACAGACUCCCAGACAGUAUGUAUGAGCCAGCUCGGCCGAAGCCGUGCUUGUCCGCGAGGCACGACGCAGAAGCCAUCGCCGAGAAUGCGUGCGUGAACUCCCGUCCUUGUGGUGACCCUGCAGAGCCCGGACCCUUCCUCCCCGCCUCUCCGUGAUCAAUCAUGCUGUCUGCUUAGCCAAAGAAAACCCAUUACGCUGGAGCAGCACAACAUGUGAGCAGUAAGCUAUCUGAUGGUCCAGGAGGGGAAAGAUAAGGUCCAACAGGCAGGACCGUAUGAGUGACUCCUAGCAGCUAAACGCCAAUCGCAGGCACUCAAAAAGAGGGAAGGUUAUCUGCGGGUGUGCAAUCACAGAAACAUUUAGCGG
Molecule: long non-coding RNA, 886 nt
Organism: Syngnathoides biaculeatus (alligator pipefish)
Lineage: Eukaryota; Metazoa; Chordata; Actinopteri; Syngnathiformes; Syngnathidae
Exons: 4
Source: RefSeq, a predicted model, not a curated record